GAUGAACGCUGACAGAAUGCUUAACACAUGCAAGUCUUUGGCGAAGCUGUGCUUGCACAGCCUAGCCAAGGCGGACGGGUGAGCAACGCGUAAGGAACUUGCCCUGCAGUCAGGGAUAACAGACGGAAACGACUGAUAAGACCUGGUAAAGUCAGGCGGACUCAUGUCCAGCCUGAUGAAAAGAGAUGCUGCAGGAGAGCCUUGCGUCCUAUUAGCUUGUUGGUGGGGUAACGGCCCACCAAGGCGAUGAUAGGUAGCCGGCCUGAGAGGGUGGACGGCCACAAGGGGACUGAGAUACGGCCAUUACUCCUACGGGAGGCAGCAGUGGGGAAUAUUGGACAAGGGGGGCAACCCUGAUCCAGCAAUUCUGUGUGCACGAUGAAGGUUUUCGGAUUGUAAAGUGCUUUCAGCAGGGAAGAAAAAAAUGACGGUACCUGCAGAAGAAGCGACGGCUAAAUACGUG
This 463-nucleotide ribosomal RNA is filed under the name uncultured bacterium. RNAcentral describes it as "partial 16S ribosomal RNA". It matches the Rfam family "Bacterial small subunit ribosomal RNA", at positions 28 to 507 of the family's 1533-position model. The record is from RNAcentral.